CCUUAUAAAGACUAUAAGAUUUCUUGUACUUGGAGCCCUUCUCCCUUUCUAAGGCACUUACUUACAUUUUCUUUUUCUAGGAAUAGCCUUGGUAAUAAAAUGAGUCACCUAACCCUCUGUCAGCAGCGAACACGAUGACUGACACUUACACGGCACCUUUCACGCUAAGAACAUUUAAACCUAUGUGUGGAAUCCUGCCCUGGCUGCUGGCUGUGCUGUCAAUAUGAUGCCGGAGCCUUUCUACCCGCACAGACCAGCAGGUCUCAGUGAGAGGCUUCAACACCCUUUGCUACUGCUUUGAAAAGGAUCUCUGUGUGUGGCUUUCUGGCCUGGCAGGCAUACUGUGGGAGGGAGAGACUCACAGGAAGAAUCUGGCAGAGCUACUUACGAACCUGAAUGCAUGGGACAAAGCUGAGGAGCAGCAUCUGUGUGUACAAGGAUGUUUCAUCAGAGGAGCCGUGGCUAUUUUGCUGUCUCCUCCUCUUGUCCAAGUGCGGGUGACACUGGUUGGGCACCUUAUGAUGACUUAUGAAGUAGAAGAUUAUUUCUGUCCUUGGGAGUUAUGGAAGUAACUGGAUGCAGGACAUCAGGAUGCUCCCUGCCUCUGCCUUUGAGGAACGGGGGUGAUAAGACAAGAAAUUAUGCUGACUUAACCAUAUGUCCAGAAGAAUUAAUUUUGACUCUGUAGUCUUGGUAUCAGCUGCCAGCUCAAAGGAGAUGAGUGUGAUGGUGAUGUUUCAAGGCAUAUAGUUGAAUUGGCAGCUACUUAUUACUUUCUACCCCUGAUCUGAAAAACGAUGAGGCCCCUGAUUUUACAUGUCUCCAGCCUGACUGCAGACUAGUGCUAGGAGAAAGAAUUAAAAGGCACGGUGAGGUGGCUUUACAUACAUCCUUACAUCUGGUCUAAAUGCAGGAGAUUUCCCGGCCCAAAAUGUGAUCUGACGGUGUGAGUUCAUUCAGCUAACAUCUGGGAUGACGUUAAGUCAACACCAGGUAGUGCAUACCACAGCCAAAUCCCCGUGCAAGCUGGCAGAGCCACUGUGGCCAGCAGCACCUGCACAGGGGGCAGCUCUUCCGAGCCUCAGCUCUUAACUUACGUGUCCGCGUUAUGCGGGCAAUACACAAAACGUGAUACGCUUGACGAAUCUGGUGUGCAGACAAUUAAUUUUUAAAGCCUUGUCAGUACCGCCGUGGUUCGUGCCGCUCCCUGGGGCAGCGCUGCGUGCCUGCUCAGAGCAGGCAAACCCUCCGUGGUGCUCCCCGGCCACCCCAGCAGCUGGUGGAGGGACUUUGCGGGCGGGCGAGCAGCCGGCCUGCCACCUCCUGCCUCCCUCCCCUUCCCCGCAAACGCCAGCCAGAGCAGCUGUCCGGCGGCUAACGCUGCGGUGCCGUAUACCUGGGAUGUGAGCUGCUCCUCGAACGCUUCCAAAGCAACUGGUAUUUUGGGCGUCGUCUGGUUAACGCCGCUAGUACGGACUAAUGGAAAAACAUCUUGACGCAAAUAAGGAGUCAUAAUAAGCUCCAGGUGAUUUUUUUUUCUAGUGUUUUGUUGAUAUUUUUAAAUAAAGCUACUCCGACACCACAUUUCUAGGGGAUUUCUACGUUGUGAGGGGACUGCUUCACUGUGCAAAGGGUUAACUCUGACGGCCGUCUGCAAUGGGAGUGAAAAGAACUUGGCCACAAAGCAGCAUCCAUGAACACAUAAUUUCUGACAUGACAUUUAUUCUCUGUCCAUAUUGUGUUUGCUGUUUGCAGACAUUCAUUUGUAAAGAUUUUCUUUUUCUCCCCCCCCCCCAAUUGUGUUUUUAUGAAUAAAACAAUCAGUGAAGGUGGCCAGGGUGCCACUGUCCUCUUUAAACUGUCAAAAAUAAAAGAUAACCUGAAAUUCUA
Molecule: long non-coding RNA, 1890 nt
Organism: Aquila chrysaetos chrysaetos
Lineage: Eukaryota; Metazoa; Chordata; Aves; Accipitriformes; Accipitridae
Exons: 2
Source: RefSeq, a predicted model, not a curated record